RNAcentral lists this ribosomal RNA (862 nucleotides) under uncultured anaerobic bacterium. RNAcentral describes it as "bacterial SSU rRNA". It matches the Rfam family "Bacterial small subunit ribosomal RNA", at positions 29 to 896 of the family's 1533-position model. The record is from RNAcentral.
AUGAACGCUAGCGGGAGGCUUAACACAUGCAAGUCGAGCGGGAUUCACCUUCGGGUGAUGAGAGCGGCGCACGGGUGCGAAACGCGUAUGCAACCUGCCUUAUGCAGGGGGAUAGCCCAUGGAAACGUGGAUUAAUACCCCAUAGGAUAUAUGAUUGCAUGGAUUAUAUAUUAAAACUGAGGUGGCAUAAGAUGGGCAUGCGUAGGAUUAGCUAGUUGGUGAGGUAACGGCUCACCAAGGCGACGAUCCUUAGGGGUUCUGAGAGGAUAAUCCCCCACACUGGUACUGAGACACGGACCAGACUCCUACGGGAGGCAGCAGUGAGGAAUAUUGGUCAAUGGGCGCGAGCCUGAACCAGCCAUCCCGCGUGCAGGAUGACGGCCCUAUGGGUUGUAAACUGCUUUUCUACUCCAAGAAACCUGACUACGUGUAGUUAGUUGCCGGUAGAGUAGGAAUAAGCAUCGGCUAACUCCGUGCCAGCAGCCGCGGUAAUACGGAGGAUGCAAGCGUUAUCCGGAUUCAUUGGGUUUAAAGGGUGCGCAGGUGGGCUUGUAAGUCAGUGGUGAAAUACUGCCGCUUAACGGUAGAAUUGCCAUUGAUACUGUGAGUCUUGAGUAUGGUUGAGGUAGGUGGAAUGUGCAGUGUAGCGGUGAAAUGCAUAGAUAUUGCACAGAACUCCGAUUGCGAAGGCAGCUUACUAAGCCAUUACUGACGCUGAGGCACGAAAGCGUGGGUAGCGAACAGGAUUAGAUACCCUGGUAGUCCACGCCGUAAACGAUGUUCACUCGCUGUUUGCGAUACACAGCAAGCGGCUGAACGAAAGCAUUAAGUGAACCACCUGGGGAAUACAAUCGCAAGGUUG